UGAGUUCUUCUGGAGCAAAUGUUCGCAACAACUUGAUGCGUUUGGCUGCGGCCAUACUGUAUGCAGCCUGUUUUUCAGACAUAAUCCGCAAGAUGUCGCUACUGCACGGCGUUUGCGCGCCAAUUCCGAAAUGACUGACAUGGGGAGGAGGAUGGCGGAAGGAUGAUAGUCCUCAUCUUUGGAAACUGUCUUCUUCUUGACCCGGUCGGCCACUUUGCUCCUCCUCCAUUUUCGGAAGAGAGCUCUCAGAAUUUCACAACCAAAUUGCAGCACCUCAAAGAUGGUGAUGACUGAAAUCCCGACGUACAGCCCUAACAGGCCUCCGAUGCCGCUCAGGAGUUCUUCAAACAGAUAUCCCUCAUGCUCCCGGAUCUCUUCAAACAGUUACCUGGAAGUACACAUGGAGCCGGACCAGGUUCUGCUUGACUUCCUCGGCCGUCCUGGGCAGGUUCUUGGCGCGGCUGCGGCUGUGGAUGUUCUGCAGCACGUACGGCAGGUAGUUAUCUGACGGCCAUGUUGAUGACGACAUCCAUAUGUUGUAGACCUCAUCCUGGGAGGUGACGCCACGGUGAGAGUGCGGUCUCCAAUGUAAGUUAUGUUUAAUUGUUUAUGUUAAAUUGUACAAUGUCGUCUGAAAUGGGGAACCAAUGUGACCCCCGACCCCAUUUUUG
This is a long non-coding RNA of Branchiostoma floridae (Florida lancelet), 671 nucleotides long. RefSeq lists it as uncharacterized. The record is from RefSeq and is a predicted model, not a curated record. The transcript is spliced from 4 exons. Lineage: Eukaryota; Metazoa; Chordata; Leptocardii; Amphioxiformes; Branchiostomatidae.